UACGUAGGGAGCAAGCGUUGUCCGGAAUUACUGGGCGUAAAGGGUGCGUAGGUGGUCAAGUAAGUCAGAUGUGAAAGACCGGGGCUUAACCCCGGGGUUGCAUUUGAAACUGUUUGACUUGAGUACAGGAGAGGGAAGUGGAAUUCCUAGUGUAGCGGUGAAAUGCGUAGAUAUUAGGAGGAACACCAGUGGCGAAGGCGACUUUCUGGACUGUAACUGACACUGAGGCACGAAAGCGUGGGGAGCAAACAGG
This 253-nucleotide ribosomal RNA is filed under the name uncultured bacterium. RNAcentral's name for it is "partial 16S ribosomal RNA". It matches the Rfam family "Bacterial small subunit ribosomal RNA", at positions 524 to 776 of the family's 1533-position model. The record is from RNAcentral.